AGAGCCCAAGCGGAGGCGGCGCGGAGCGUUUCGGCUCUCAACGCAUCGGGAACCGGUGUGUAGUGCGAGGCUACGGCGGAGCCUCCACACUGAAGGCGCGAGAGGUUGGCAGCUUCGAUUGAAGCACAUCGAGCGGUGACAGCAGUGGAAGUCAUGAGCGGCAGCAGCGAGCAGAACUACGGCGAGCGGGAAUCCCGUUCUGCUUCCAGAAGUGGAAGUGCUCAUGGAUCUGGGAAAUCUGCAAGGCAUAUCCCUGCAAGGUCUCGCUCCAAGGAAGAUUCCAGGCGUUCCAGAUCAAAGUCCAGGUCCAGAUCUGAAUCUAGGUCUAGAUCCAGAAGAAGUUCUCGGAGGCAUUAUACAAGGUCACGAUCUCGGUCCCGGUCCCAUAGACUAGCAUCAGGGACUAGGCAGAGUGGAAAUCACUGCUGGGAUAAGUACGAUGGGGAAGAAGUCAAGUGCAGGCUGUCGACCAGUAAGCAGGAAGAGGAAUGGCUUGUGGGGUAG
This is a non-coding RNA of Odocoileus virginianus texanus, 504 nucleotides long. The record is from RefSeq and is a predicted model, not a curated record. Lineage: Eukaryota; Metazoa; Chordata; Mammalia; Artiodactyla; Cervidae.